This 522-nucleotide ribosomal RNA is filed under the name Enterobacter hormaechei. RNAcentral's name for it is "partial 23S ribosomal RNA". It matches the Rfam family "Bacterial large subunit ribosomal RNA", at positions 2261 to 2782 of the family's 2925-position model. The record is from RNAcentral. Lineage: Bacteria; Pseudomonadati; Pseudomonadota; Gammaproteobacteria; Enterobacterales; Enterobacteriaceae.
GUGGGUAGUUUGACUGGGGCGGUCUCCUCCCAAAGAGUAACGGAGGAGCACGAAGGUUGGCUAAUCCUGGUCGGACAUCAGGAGGUUAGUGCAAUGGCAUAAGCCAGCUUGACUGCGAGCGUGACGGCGCGAGCAGGUGCGAAAGCAGGUCAUAGUGAUCCGGUGGUUCUGAAUGGAAGGGCCAUCGCUCAACGGAUAAAAGGUACUCCGGGGAUAACAGGCUGAUACCGCCCAAGAGUUCAUAUCGACGGCGGUGUUUGGCACCUCGAUGUCGGCUCAUCACAUCCUGGGGCUGAAGUAGGUCCCAAGGGUAUGGCUGUUCGCCAUUUAAAGUGGUACGCGAGCUGGGUUUAGAACGUCGUGAGACAGUUCGGUCCCUAUCUGCCGUGGGCGCUGGAGAAUUGAGGGGGGCUGCUCCUAGUACGAGAGGACCGGAGUGGACGCAUCACUGGUGUUCGGGUUGUCAUGCCAAUGGCACUGCCCGGUAGCUAAAUGCGGAAGAGAUAAGUGCUGAAAGCAUCU